This 475-nucleotide long non-coding RNA is filed under the name Monodelphis domestica (gray short-tailed opossum). Its description in RNAcentral is "lncRNA (ENSMODG00000032022.2)". The record is from RNAcentral. Lineage: Eukaryota; Metazoa; Chordata; Mammalia; Didelphimorphia; Didelphidae.
ACCCUGCGUAAGAAGUGUCAGGCCAGGCAGAAUAGGAAUCUUCUGGCAAUACAGCUUAAAAGGUCUCUCUUCAACUAAAUAGCCUGACCUGCCUCUCUUAUCUCCUUGCAGGCAGAAUUGUCAUACUUGGAUAGAAGCUAACAGUGCUACCUAUCUGUCCCCAUAAUACUAUUUCUUUUCCAUUCCUUUCUAGGAUGAAAUAAGAAGAAGCGACUGCCCAAACCCAAGUGCUCCCUAUAGUCCAAUUGUUGGCAGUAAAAAUGACAUCUUUUCAAUAGCAAGGUUUCAUCCAAGAAGAGAAACCAUUCAUGUGGCUUUCAGGAAUGAUGUUGGUGAUUUUAUAAAGAACAGUAUUGAUGGAUCCCAGAGAUAUGAAAGGGCAGGUAAAUGAGUCAGUUCUCUGAAUAUCCUCUAGCCAGCCAUUGUUGAAGCAUUUCCCUUAAGAAAGGAUGCUCCGUGAAUGAGAGGCAUGUGG